This 85-nucleotide transfer RNA is filed under the name Felis catus (domestic cat). It matches the Rfam family "tRNA". From Rfam's summary of the family: Transfer RNA (tRNA) molecules are approximately 80 nucleotides in length. Their secondary structure includes four short double-helical elements and three loops (D, anti-codon, and T loops). The record is from Rfam by way of RNAcentral. Lineage: Eukaryota; Metazoa; Chordata; Mammalia; Carnivora; Felidae.
GCCUGGGUGGCUCAGUCGGUUGAGCGUCCGACUUCGGCUCAGGUCAUGAUCUUGCGGUUUGUGGGUUUGAGCCCCGCGUCAGGCU